UUCAUUUUAAUAGCUUUUACCAUUCAGAAUCUUAAGUGAUGGGUUUAACUUUGACUUGAUGUUGUUCUGUCAUUCAGAAUUUGGAAAUUGUGCUUGCUUGAUCCACCCAAACUCAAUAUAUAUAUAGAUAGUUAUAAUAAUAUAGAAGUAUCUUAAUAAAGUUGGAAGUUGAUUAUGGACAAGUUGGUUUGACAGGGAUAGAAGAAAACUACCAAAAUACGGUUUAGGUGAUCAGAUUAGUUGGCAGCGGCUCUUUAAUAAUUUUGCUUUCUGCUCAGUAGUAGCAUAUCAUGUUUUUUUUGAAAAAAUGACGUAUUUAUGUCCCCGUAUCAUAUUGUUUCCGUAUUAUGUAUUCGUCCCCAUGCGUCAUAGAAUUAUUCUAUUAUUCAAAUAAUAUUUAUCGUUAUUUUCAAACCUCAGCGGGUAUCCGGCAGGUAACGGGUAUCCGACGGGUGGUAAACAGUAGUGUACAAAAAGUUGAAAUUUUAUAAAAUUUGUUGUAGUUUCGUGGUGAUUUAUUUGUUGGGUGGUUUAUUGCAUUUGUGGGAUGGUUGAUUGCAGGAUGUCGAUGCCGAGAAGCAGCAACGCCCUUACCUCUCAAGCCUCGGCGGGUAUCCGACAGAUAGUGGGUUGCGGGUAUCCGAC
RNAcentral lists this long non-coding RNA (645 nucleotides) under Salvia miltiorrhiza (redroot sage). RNAcentral describes it as "long non-coding RNA (SMIL_LNC005734)". The record is from RNAcentral. Lineage: Eukaryota; Viridiplantae; Streptophyta; Magnoliopsida; Lamiales; Lamiaceae.